UCUGAACUAUCAACACUUUGAUCCUCUUAAUUUUUGCACAAAAGAUACACAUGCCAUAACUUCUUCUAAGUUGAAAAAUCCCAAGAUUAUUAUAACGAUUUUACAGAGGCUGUGAUCACUCAAUCAAACUCCAUUUCUUGAGGUGACUUUCUCUAUAUCACAGGGAUUUUUACCCUUCACUUCUUGAGUCCUUCAACCCUAUAAAAUACAACCCUUAACAGCAAAAUUCUGAAUUGCAUCCUUCUAAAGCAUACAUACAGUAAAAAUGUCCAAGUUCUCUUGCAGCAUUUUCUUUGUCUUUCUCCUUGUCUUAUCAGGUGACGCUUGCUGAUUAUUUCCUUUUGGCCUAGUGGUCAAAAAAUUUCAAAUCUUUAUGAUUUUUGGUAAUUUUUAUGAAUUUUUAUAAUCUUAGUAAAAAUAGCUCAAAUAAUAAAACUAUUGGCAAUUUCGGUCGAGUCUCGAUUUUGAUCAAAACUGGAUGACGUAUCAUCUUUGGUGGCAUGAGACAAAUAAGCUACAUCAUUAUUGUACUUAUAUAAUUUUGACCAAAAUUAAGAAUUAGCCAAAAUUAUAAAUGAUUUUACAAUACUAGCCACUUUUUCCAAAAUUAAAAAGACUGGCUAAAAUUGUCAAAAAUCACAUGAGUUUGAAUUUCUUUUUACCAUGAGCCCUUUCUUUUUGUACAUAAGUAUAGUUGAUUUGUAUUGUUCUCCAUUUUUAUAUCCUUGGUGGUUCAUAUUAUGUCAGCUGCUUUCAUGGUUCCUAAAGGAGAAGCUCAAGAGAUAUGUCAUAAUGAACUCCCAGGAGAAGGAGAUGGUAAUUGUGAUGCAGCAAAAUGUCAAACACGAUGCUCAAAGUUACAUCAAGGGACCGGAAUUUGCACCCAAACAUUUAUAAAUCGC
RNAcentral lists this long non-coding RNA (902 nucleotides) under Ricinus communis (castor bean). RNAcentral's name for it is "long non-coding RNA (RCOM_LNC002672)". The record is from RNAcentral. Lineage: Eukaryota; Viridiplantae; Streptophyta; Magnoliopsida; Malpighiales; Euphorbiaceae.